GACAGAGGUGGCAACCGUUGUUCGGAAUCAUUGGGCUUAAAGCGCGCGUAGGUGGCCUUGUAAGUGUCUUGUGAAAUCCCACUGCUCACCCGUGGAACUGCAGGGCAAACUGCAAGACUUGAGGUCGGUAGAGGGGCCUGGAACUCUAGGUGGAGCGGUGAAAUGCGUAGAUAUCUAGGGGAACGCCGGAGGCGAAAGCGGGGCGCUGGGCCGAUUCCGACGCUGAUGCGCGAAAGCGUGGGGAGCAAACAGG
This 253-nucleotide ribosomal RNA is filed under the name uncultured bacterium. RNAcentral describes it as "partial 16S ribosomal RNA". It matches the Rfam family "Bacterial small subunit ribosomal RNA", at positions 524 to 776 of the family's 1533-position model. The record is from RNAcentral.